UAAGACAGAGGCCACAAGCGUUAGGCGGAAUCACUGGGCUUAAAGCGCGUGUAGGUGGGCCAGCAAGUACCUUGUGAAAUCCCAUAGCUCAACUAUGGAACUGCUUGGUAUACUGCUGGUCUUGAGCCAUCUAGGGGCUACUGGAACAAACGGUGGAGCGGUGAAAUGCGUAGAUAUCGUUUGGAACGCCAAUGGUGAAAACAGGUAGCUGGGGAUGUGCUGACACUGAGACGCGAAAGCCAGGGGAGCAAACGGGAUUAGAUACCCCGGUAGUCCUGGCCCUAAACGAUGUCCACUAGAUCGUAGUCGCUCUGACGUGAUUAUGGUCGAAGCAAAAGUGCUAAGUGGACCGCCUGGGAAGUACGGUCGCAAGGCUA
This 377-nucleotide ribosomal RNA is filed under the name uncultured bacterium. RNAcentral describes it as "bacterial SSU rRNA". It matches the Rfam family "Bacterial small subunit ribosomal RNA", at positions 521 to 896 of the family's 1533-position model. The record is from RNAcentral.